This 139-nucleotide ribosomal RNA is filed under the name uncultured Fusobacterium sp. Its description in RNAcentral is "partial 16S ribosomal RNA". It matches the Rfam family "Bacterial small subunit ribosomal RNA", at positions 355 to 507 of the family's 1533-position model. Lineage: Bacteria; Fusobacteriati; Fusobacteriota; Fusobacteriia; Fusobacteriales; Fusobacteriaceae. The record is from RNAcentral.
UGGGGAAUAUUGGACAAUGGACCAAAAGUCUGAUCCAGCAAUUCUGUGUGCACGAUGAAGUUUUUCGGAAUGUAAAGUGCUUUCAGUUGGGACGAAGAAAGUGACGGUACCAACAUAAGAAGCGACGGCUAAAUACGUG